AAUUACUGGGCGUAAAGCGCACGCAGGCGGUUGAUUGAGUCAGAUGUGAAAUCCCCGGGCUUAACCCGGGAAUUGCAUCUGAUACUGGUCAGCUAGAGUCUUGUAGAGGGGGGUAGAAUUCCAUGUGUAGCGGUGAAAUGCGUAGAGAUGUGGAGGAAUACCGGUGGCGAAGGCGGCCCCCUGGACAAAGACUGACGCUCAGGUGCGAAAGCGUGGGGAGCAAACAGGAUUAGAUACCCUGGUAGUCCACGCUGUAAACGAUGUCGACUUGGAGGUUGUGCCCUUGAGGCGU
Molecule: ribosomal RNA, 292 nt
Filed under: Morganella morganii
Lineage: Bacteria; Pseudomonadati; Pseudomonadota; Gammaproteobacteria; Enterobacterales; Morganellaceae
Description: partial 16S ribosomal RNA
Rfam family: Bacterial small subunit ribosomal RNA
Source: RNAcentral